This 542-nucleotide ribosomal RNA is filed under the name uncultured bacterium. RNAcentral describes it as "bacterial SSU rRNA". It matches the Rfam family "Bacterial small subunit ribosomal RNA", at positions 356 to 896 of the family's 1533-position model. The record is from RNAcentral.
GAGGAAUAUUGGUCAAUGGGCGAGAGCCUGAACCAGCCAAGUAGCGUGCAGGAUGACGGCCCUAUGGGUUGUAAACUGCUUUUAUGUGGAGAUAAAGUGAGCUACGUGUAGUUUAUUGCAGGUACCACAUGAAUAAGGACCGGCUAAUUCCGUGCCAGCAGCCGCGGUAAUACGGAAGGUCCAGGCGUUAUCCGGAUUUAUUGGGUUUAAAGGGAGCGUAGGCCGUGGAUUAAGCGUGUUGUGAAAUGUAGACGCUCAACGUCUGAAUUGCAGCGCGAACUGGUUCACUUGAGUAUGCACAACGUAGGCGGAAUUCGUCGUGUAGCGGUGAAAUGCUUAGAUAUGACGAAGAACUCCGAUUGCGAAGGCAGCUUACGGGAGCACAACUGACGCUGAAGCUCGAAGGUGCGGGUAUCAAACAGGAUUAGAUACCCUGGUAGUCCGCACAGUAAACGAUGGAUGCCCGUUGUUAGUUCACUUAAGAAUUAGCGACCAAGCGAAAGCAUUAAGCAUCCCACCUGGGGAGUACGCCGGCAACGGUG